AUUUCCCUCUUUCUUCCGGCCUAACACAUGCAAGUCGAGCGGAUGAAGGGAGCUUGCUCCUGGAUUCAGCGGCGGACGGGUGAGUAAUGCCUAGGAAUCUGCCUGGUAGUGGGGGAUAACGUCCGGAAACGGGCGCUAAUACCGCAUACGUCCUGAGGGAGAAAGUGGGGGAUCUUCGGACCUCACGCUAUCAGAUGAGCCUAGGUCGGAUUAGCUAGUUGGUGGGGUAAAGGCCUACCAAGGCGACGAUCCGUAACUGGUCUGAGAGGAUGAUCAGUCACACUGGAACUGAGACACGGUCCAGACUCCGACGGGAGGCAGCAGUGGGGAAUAUUGGACAAUGGGCGAAAGCCUGAUCCAGCCAUGCCGCGUGUGUGAAGAAGGUCUUCGGAUUGUAAAGCACUUUAAGUUGGGAGGAAGGGCAGUAAGUUAAUACCUUGCUGUUUUGACGUUACCAACAGAAUAAGCACCGGCUAACUUCGUG
This 484-nucleotide ribosomal RNA is filed under the name uncultured bacterium. RNAcentral's name for it is "partial 16S ribosomal RNA". It matches the Rfam family "Bacterial small subunit ribosomal RNA", at positions 36 to 507 of the family's 1533-position model. The record is from RNAcentral.